UUACGGUCAAAUCACGCUGAAAACACCGGUUCUCGUUCGAUCACCGAAGUUAAGCAUCGUAGAGCCAGGUCAGUACUUUAGAUGGGGACCGCUUGGGAAACACCUGGUACUGUAAG
Molecule: ribosomal RNA, 116 nt
Filed under: Acanthosepion pharaonis
Lineage: Eukaryota; Metazoa; Mollusca; Cephalopoda; Sepiida; Sepiidae
Source: RNAcentral